GAGUCCUGUGUUUGGAGCACCAGAAAUAAACCAGCUUCAGAAGCAAACUCCCUCCCACCUCUAUUCUUCCUUUAGCCAAGAAGUACGGAUGGAUGAGAUUCUCCUCAGAGUUUUGGGACCGGGAAGAAUGAAGCUGUGGCUGUCAAAAAUGCCUGGUGGACCUAGCGGAUGACACCUAGACAGCAUGUUUGCUGCUGUCCUCUAUGCUGACCAAGCCUCUCCUCUGCAGAUUAAAACCCCUCCGGAUCAGAGCUAGCUCUAAACAGCACCUUGUCGGUUGAGAUUUUGAGCAACAGGGUCCUGCAAGGUGGGCAUAUUUGGCAGCCUGAAGGAGAGGUAGAAUAUUUGCCUAACCCCACAGCUAGUAAACCCAGGACAAAUGCAUCGGCAGCUUCUCAAGGCCAGGGAGAGAGAGCACACAUCUUGCCCUAGGAAAUUCACAGACACGCUGAAAUUUGAUGGGAACUGAUCUAGCCAAAUAGGAGGAGAUCAAUUGUUUGCUAGAAUCAACAGAUCUUCCUGUUUAGUUGCUCAGUAAAAUAUCCUUGCCUCUGGGCACAAUGCACCAAGCUGGAGGAUGCCAUCAAGGAGAAGUUCUUUGCCUGAUCUCAUUGACUUUUGAGCACUUUAAGCCUAAAGGGAGCAGGAACAAGAAGCGAGAGGAAAAGGUGAAGGUUAAAGAGAACUAUUUCGGAGAUAAUAAACUCCUUCUGAAUCCUGCCAAGGCUGGCUGCGCUGUUGUCUCAGAGGGAGAAGAAUAUCAACAUGGACUCCUGCCUGUGGUCUUGAAAUAGGCAAGUCACCAAGGGACAAAGACUGUUCUGUGAGUUUGGGCUCCCUGGGGCAGCUGUUCCUGAGCUGUUACAAUGGCCCUGGCACCAGACACUGAUUCAGAGUUUUGUGGGGAGCCCAGGACAAAUUCUCACUAUUUAAACUAAGACAAGUCCAAGGCUGAAUGCCCUGUCCAUGC
RNAcentral lists this long non-coding RNA (970 nucleotides) under Homo sapiens (human). RNAcentral describes it as "non-protein coding lnc-PRPF18-1:44". Lineage: Eukaryota; Metazoa; Chordata; Mammalia; Primates; Hominidae. The record is from RNAcentral.